CCAUCAUCCCUGACAAUUGCUUGUUCUGGGUGGAGAUGAUGGGAGUUGGGAAUCCAGCAAUAUCUGGAGGGCCAUAAUUUGCAGAUGGGGAAAUAAGGUAAGAGUUAAAGAUAACAGUAAUGCAAAACAACGUUAGCAUAGCAUAGCGUAGCACUGAAACAGUCUCCAAGGCCAAUCUUAAUGUGCCACAUAAAUAUUUGUCUCCUGGAUGCUAUAGACUUUUGGCUGUUUAUACAUGGAACUGAAAAAUGAGAUAUCCAUGAAUACACUGGGUGGGGGGGAUAAAGUAAUGGAACACUAAGCAAGAUCACAGCUGCAGUGCUCCUCUCCCAGUCCUCCUGCUGUUGUGCUACCUGGAUAAACCGUGGUUACAUCCAAACCCAGGCUUGUGGUUUGUCUUACAACCUUGAGCCAUAAACCAAGAACAAACCUUGGUAACAGUUUGUGGCUUCUCUGGAGUGAGUGAAACAAACCACAAAUCUGGGUUGGACAUAACACUAAACCAAAUGCAGGUAGCACAGCCGCUUCAAGAAUGGGGAAGAAUGAAACUGCCACAACCUUUGCUUUGCGAACCUGCAAUUUCGUUUGCUCAGGUGAAGCCGUGGUUUGGAUGAGCAUGAUGUGCAAACUAGAUUACAGCUUACAAAAUAAAACACAGGAGAUUCACUGACAUGAUUUACAACAGGCACCUCUUUUUAAAAAAGUAAUUUUGAAAUAGUGAGUCAAGAGUCUUGUGGAUAACUGACUUUAAAGAUGAGUGACUGUAACAUUGUGGUGGAUCCAAAGGAAUGUGGCGGUCUUUGGGACAUCCAUACCUUUUCCCCAUACCAUUUCACCAUCAGUUCUAAUAUUUCUAUUUCUAAAAUGUAUACCUUUAUGACCAAUGGCCAGUGAGCAUUCCCAGGAUGGCUAAGGCACAGCAGUGGCUCAUGUGGUGGGAUGGACCUUCUCUCCCGAUACUGGUGUUGCUGCAGUUCACCUGGGCAGGGGGGAGAGGUGACAAGCUUGGGAAGCACCAAACUGGUGGUGCACUUAAAUAGCCCCAACCUCAUCAUCACCUUGCUCCACCCCAGAUCCUUCAAGAUAAGCUGCAGUGACACCAGUGUAAGAAGGGCAGCUCCACCCCACCACAGUGGUCACUGGUGUCCAGGUGUCCUUUAGAUGCGGGCAGAAGGCCUUGAUGGGAUCACAGAAAGUCCUUUUAACUCUUUGGGAGACCUGGUACCUGUGUUUACCAUUAUUGAUCAUUACCAAUAAUGAUGAUGCAAGAAUGAAUUCUUGCAUAUUGAAUGUGAUGAUAUACUGUUUCUCAGGGCCAAGGCACACUGACUGCUGCCAUCUUUACAUGACUUCCCAUGACAGUGUCUUCAUGUGUUGAGCUUUUUGCCUUCAGAUUUGGGAGCAUCUUCUUAUGGUGAAGAAAAUAAGCUUGUAAUGUCAUGGUGUGGAGAAGCUCCCCUUAUAUACCUGGUGAUCCAAAAUGUAUAGAUGACCUACCAUAUGGAAGUAGCUGUUAUGGAAAAGUAUUCAAAGUUCAACCACCACCACAACAACAACAACUGAUUACUUAUACCCCACCCAUCUGGCCUGGCCUCCCCAACCACUCUGGGUGGCUCCCAACAGAAUAUUAAAAACACAAUAAAACAUCAAACAUUAAAAACUUCCCUAAGUGGCCUGUUUUGUAGACAUUGACCCAUACUUUGUGUUCGAAUGACAUUCAAAUGUCAGCAUCCUCUUGGAGAAAAGGCAGUAUAGAUUUAGAGACUAUGUAACUUAGAAUGUUUUAACUCCCCAAUGCCAGAACAAAGAUUUCCAGAGAGUUAGCUAUAGAAAAGAAACUGCUGCCUGCUAUCUUAUCUGUAUUGACUGUGUAAAUAAGUUGUAUUACUCAACUGCAAAAAGUUCAAUAAAGUAAUCUAAUCAACGAACUCACAGUUUCCUUGGCAACCUGAUUGCUGAGGCAUCAGAGAGAAAAGAGGCAGCAUUCAGGUACGUCUCCAUCAUGUCUGGAUACAGCUUCAGCUGAGAGCCCCCCUUCCUCUACUUGUCAACAGCCAUUGUUGAGGUCAGAAGAAGACUCUCCCUUGUGCUUAGAUCCAGCUCCUUGUUGAGGUCAGAAGAAGAAGAAGAAGAAGAAGAAGAAGAAGAAGAAGAAGACUCUCCCUUGUGCUUAGAUCCAGCUCCAUGACGCAAUGAAUUUCUACCUUUCAGUAGUUGCGAAGGGCUUUGGGGAACAGAAUGUCAAGGCAGUCUAAGCAUGCCAG
Non-coding RNA from Podarcis lilfordi (Lilford's wall lizard), 2264 nucleotides. The record is from the annotation of a GenBank genome assembly. NCBI's taxonomy places the organism in Eukaryota, Metazoa, Chordata, Lepidosauria, Squamata, Lacertidae.